This 468-nucleotide ribosomal RNA is filed under the name uncultured bacterium. RNAcentral describes it as "bacterial SSU rRNA". It matches the Rfam family "Bacterial small subunit ribosomal RNA", at positions 328 to 793 of the family's 1533-position model. The record is from RNAcentral.
UAUCCAGACUCCUACGGGAGGCAGCAGUGAGGAAUAUUGGUCAAUGGGCGGAAGCCUGAACCAGCCAAGUCGCGUGAGGGAAGAAGGCCCUGCGGGUCGCAGACCUCUUUGGACGGGGAGCAAGGCCGCCGACGUGUCGGCGGAAGGAGAGUACCCGUAGAACAAGCAUCGGCUAACUCCGUGCCAGCAGCCGCGGUAAUACGGAGGAUGCGAGCGUUAUCCGGAUUUAUUGGGUUUAAAGGGUGCGCAGGCGGUCUGUUAAGUCAGCGGUCAAAGCCCGGGGCUCAACCCCGGUCCGCCGUUGAAACUGGCAGUCUCGAGUUGGAGAGAAGUAUGCGGAAUGCGCGGUGUAGCGGUGAAAUGCAUAGAUAUCGCGCAGAACUCCGAUUGCGAAGGCAGCAUGCCGGCUCCACACUGACGCUGAGGCACGAAAGCGUGGGUAUCGAACAGGAUUAGAUACCCCUGUAU